Molecule: ribosomal RNA, 498 nt
Filed under: uncultured bacterium
Lineage: Bacteria
Description: partial 16S ribosomal RNA
Rfam family: Bacterial small subunit ribosomal RNA
Source: RNAcentral
AUUGAACGCUGGCGGCAUGCCUUACACAUGCAAGUCGAACGGUAACAGGUCUUCGGAUGCUGACGAGUGGCGAACGGGUGAGUAAUACAUCGGAACGUGCCUAGUAGUGGGGGAUAACUACUCGAAAGAGUGGCUAAUACCGCAUGAGAUCUACGGAUGAAAGCAGGGGAUCGCAAGACCUUGUGCUACUAGAGCGGCCGAUGGCAGAUUAGGUAGUUGGUGGGAUAAAAGCUUACCAAGCCGACGAUCUGUAGCUGGUCUGAGAGGACGAUCAGCCACACUGGGACUGAGACACGGCCCAGACUCCUACGGGAGGCAGCAGUGGGGAAUUUUGGACAAUGGGCGAAAGCCUGAUCCAGCAAUGCCGCGUGCAGGAUGAAGGCCUUCGGGUUGUAAACUGCUUUUGUACGGAACGAAAAGCCUUGGGUUAAUACCCUGGGGUCAUGAUGGUACCGUAAGAAUAAGCACCGGCUAACUACGUGCCAGCCGCCGCCGUAA